Molecule: transfer RNA, 73 nt
Filed under: Alpinimonas psychrophila
Lineage: Bacteria; Bacillati; Actinomycetota; Actinomycetes; Micrococcales; Microbacteriaceae
Also listed under: 1 other name
Description: Klugiella sp. Cr8-25 tRNA
Rfam family: tRNA
About the family: Transfer RNA (tRNA) molecules are approximately 80 nucleotides in length.
Source: Rfam by way of RNAcentral
GGCUCUGUAGCUCAGUUGGUAGAGCGUCCGACUGAAAAUCGAAAGGUCACCGGUUCAAUCCCGGUCGGAGCCA